GAAAUGCGAUAAGUAAUGUGAAUUGCAGAAUUCAGUGAAUCAUCGAAUCUUUGAACGCACCUUGCGCUCCUUGGUAUUCCUUGGAGCAUGCCUGUUUGAGUAUCAUGAAAUCUUCAAAGUAAAUCUUUUGUUAACUCAUUUGGUUUCUACUUUGGUAUUGGAGGUCUUUGCAGCUUCACACCUGCUCCUCUUUGUUCAUUAGCUGGAUCUCAGUGUUAUGCUUGGUUCCACUCGGCGUGAUAAGUUAUCUAUCGCUGAGGACACUGUAAAAGGUGGCCAAGGUAAAUGCAGAUGAACCGCUUCCAAUAGUCCAUUGACUUGGACAAUACUUUUAUGAUCUGAUCUCAAAUCAGGUAGGACUACCCGCUGAACUUAAGC
RNAcentral lists this unclassified non-coding RNA (378 nucleotides) under plant metagenome. RNAcentral's name for it is "partial contains 5.8S ribosomal RNA, internal transcribed spacer 2, and large subunit ribosomal RNA". The stretch from base 1 to 105 matches the Rfam family "5.8S ribosomal RNA", at positions 50 to 154 of the family's 154-position model. The record is from RNAcentral.